Molecule: ribosomal RNA, 439 nt
Filed under: uncultured bacterium
Lineage: Bacteria
Description: partial 16S ribosomal RNA
Rfam family: Bacterial small subunit ribosomal RNA
Source: RNAcentral
CCUACGGGAGGCAGCAGUGGGGAAUAUUGCACAAUGGGGGAAACCCUGAUGCAGCGACGCCGCGUGAGUGAGGAAGUAUUUCGGUAUGUAAAGCUCUAUCAGCAGGGAAGAAAAUGACGGUACCUGCCUAAGAAUCCCCGGCUACCUCCGUUCAAGCAGCCGCGGGCAUACGGCGGAUGCGACCGUCAUCCGGAUUUAUUGGGUUUAAUGGGUGCGCAGGCGGUAGAUUAAGUCAGCGGUAAAAUUGACAGGCUAACCCUCGUUGAGCCGUUGAUACUGGUUUUCUUGAGUGAGGGAGAGGUAGGCGGAAUGCGUGGUGUAGCGGUGAAAUGCAUAGAUAUCACGAAGAACUCCGAUUGCGAAGGCAGCAUACCGGAGUGCAACUGACGCUGAUGCACGAAAGUGUGGGUAGUGAACAGGAUUAGAUACCCUUGUAGUC